Molecule: non-coding RNA, 162 nt
Filed under: pig gut metagenome
Description: Lysine riboswitch
Rfam family: Lysine riboswitch aptamer
About the family: Riboswitches are metabolite binding domains within certain messenger RNAs that serve as precision sensors for their corresponding targets.
Source: RNAcentral
UAUUAGAGGCGCAGCGUGUCAGAAGUAUGCGCCGGUGGAAGGCCCGCGGCAGGGCCGUUGCCGGUGCGGAAAGGGGCCGCUGCCGAAGCGGAGGCGUGCCGGGCUUCUGCUGGGCAGGCGGAGAAUAUCCGUCUGACUGUCGCAUUUUGCGGAGAGCUGGUC